CGGGGUGCACCAGGCGCGAAAACUUUACAAUGCGGGAAACCGUGAUAAGGGGACACCGAGUGCCAGCAUCAUAUGCUGGCUGUCCGGGUGUGUAAAAUACACCCGUUAGCAAGGGCCGGGCAAGACCGGUGCCAGCCGCCGCGGUAACACCGGCGGCCCGAGUGGUGAUCGUGAUUAUUGGGUCUAAAGGGUCCGUAGCCGGUUUGGUCAGUCCUCCGGGAAAUCUGACGGCUCAACCGUUAGGCUUUCGGGGGAUACUGCCAGGCUUGGAACCGGGAGAGGUAAGAGGUACUACAGGGGUAGGAGUGAAAUCUUGUAAUCCCUGUGAGACCACCUGUGGCGAAGGCGUCUUACCAGAACGGGUUCGACGGUGAGGGACGAAAGCUGGGGGCACGAACCGGAUUAGAUACCCGGGUAGUCCCAGCCGUAAACGAUGCUCGCUAGGUGUCAGGCAUGGCGCGACCGUGUCUGGUGCCGCAGGGAAGCCGUGAAGCGAGCCACCUGGGAAGUACGGCCGCAAGGCUGAAACUUAAAGGAAUUGGCGGGGGAGCACAAGGGCGAAUUCGCG
Molecule: ribosomal RNA, 568 nt
Filed under: uncultured archaeon
Lineage: Archaea
Description: bacterial SSU rRNA
Rfam family: Archaeal small subunit ribosomal RNA
Source: RNAcentral